Molecule: ribosomal RNA, 680 nt
Filed under: uncultured bacterium
Lineage: Bacteria
Description: bacterial SSU rRNA
Rfam family: Bacterial small subunit ribosomal RNA
Source: RNAcentral
AGAGUUUGAUCAUGGCUCAGGAUGAACGCUGGCGGUAUGCCUAACACAUGCAAGUCGUACGGGAGUUUUUAACUCUAGUGGCGGACGGGUGAGUAACACGUGAGAAUUUGCCUUUAGGAGGGGGACAACAGUUGGAAACGACUGCUAAUACCCCAUAUGCUUUCGAGUGAAAUGGAUUUAUAUUUAUCCGCCUAGAGAGAAGCUCGCGGCUGAUUAGCUUGUUGGUAAGGUAAGAGCUUACCAAGGCGACGAUCAGUAUCUGGUUUGAGAGGACGAUCAGACACACUGGAACUGAGACACGGUCCAGACUCCUACGGGAGGCAGCAGUGGGGAAUUUUCCGCAAUGGGCGAAAGCCUGACGGAGCAAUACCGCGUGAGGGAAGACUGCCUAUGGGUUGUAAACCUCUUUUUUCAGGGAGGAAUCAAUGACGUGUACCUGAAGAAUAAGCAUCGGCUAACUCCGUGCCAGCAGCCGCGGUAAGACGGAGGAUGCAAGUGUUAUCCGGAAUCACUGGGCGUAAAGCGUCUGUAGGUGGUUUAAUAAGUCAACUGUUAAAUCUUGAGGCUCAACUUCAAAAUCGCAGUCGAAACUAUUAGACUAGAGUAUAGUAGAGGUAAAGGGAAUUUCCAGUGGAGCGGUGAAAUGCGUAGAUAUUGGAAAGAACACCGAUGGCGAAAGC